ACACUGCUUUUUGUUUGGUUUCCCAUACCCAUUUCAGCUUCUCUAUCGUCUUCAAAGCUCCCGGUUUUUCUCUUUCGAAUCUCGCCUUCAGUCGUCCCUUUUUCUGUCGUUCUCACCUUUUCGUUUCCUCAGUCAACACCGAAUCAGUAUGCACAGAUGGUAUAUGGAAGAGAUGCAGGAUAUCAUCGGGGUGGAAUGUCCUCUAUUAAUUUUUUUGAAAUUAAUUUGGGGUUUUGUUUAGCUUUGCUAAUUAUGGAAGAGAUGCAGGAUAACAAAGGGUGUGUUUUUUGUAUUCAUCUGUUUCCUCUUUCUGGAAUUUUGUUUCUCAGCCCUUUCAUCUCUCUGCAGUUGGUGAUUAAGGGGUUGUUUGUUGCUGGGAAAUGAUGGUUGCAAGUUGUUUCUGUUUUUUGGUUCGGUGGUGGUAGAUUUUUUUUACUCGGAGGACGCAUCGUUUCCUGCAAAGUUUUGGGUCUUUUUGAAUACAGAUCUUUGUAUUUUUCUUUGUAGUUUUAGAGCAAGGACUCCUCAUUGCAUAUGCCGAACUCCCCACAUGCAGCAUAAACUCAGCAUUGUUUUUGUGGUCGAAGCGAAACCAAAUUCCAUUGGAAUUCGCCAACCAUGUUAGCUGCUGACUUGUCCUGAGGUAGACAACACAAAUCGAGCUAUUCUCUUAGGAUCAUAAAGAGAAUAUGUGAAAUAACCUUCAUUUUUGUUCGAGCCAUAGCUGAAAUUGUAUACAUAACUAAGCCUCAUUUCAGGAACCAAGCUAAAAGAAUUAGAACUUUCGUUCCAUAAACCGCUGGUCCAAUAUUGUGUAGACCUAUUCCACAGCAUAUGAUUUGCAGUGCUCCCCGGGUUAAGAGAGAAAAGACCUGGUGCAGGAUCCUCGUAACUCUUCCAUGAAGUGAGAAUUUGGGUUUGUUGGGAAACAAUGCUGAAUCCAAGUCUACUUCCUGGUAGCCAUGUAUGGGUUGGAAAAUCAAAACUUUGCCACAAAAACUCAGAUGUAGACCCAGCUUUUAAUAACACAAAGUUACCGCUAUCCAAAAGCAGUGAGUGUAUAGAAGCGGAGGUGCUGGAGGAGGUCCAAUUUGCCGACCAAAUUGAAGUUUUGGAUUCACUAAAUAGAACUAGAUUACGAUCUGAGAUCCUCAAGACUAAAGAAAAUUUAUCAGACACUGGUUGUUCCCAAUUGCUCCUCAGACAAUAGUGUGGAGCCAAAAAUAAUCACAAGACGACACGUGAAUUUUUCGACAAAAGAGGACAAAAAUACCCUUGAGGUACAACGGGAUUCCUACGUGCGAGUUGCAGGCAAUUAUCAUUCAACCAAAUCAAAAGUGUCCAAAAUAGGUGCAAUUUUGUCCAAGAAGAAGAAGGCAGAAAUUUGCAUCCACAAAUUGGUGCUUUCAUUA
This is a long non-coding RNA of Malus domestica (apple), 1412 nucleotides long. RefSeq lists it as uncharacterized. The record is from RefSeq and is a predicted model, not a curated record. NCBI's taxonomy places the organism in Eukaryota, Viridiplantae, Streptophyta, Magnoliopsida, Rosales, Rosaceae.